UAAUUUUUUUUUAAGUUUAAGAAAGUGUUUUUUGCAUAGUUAAUUAAUUUUAGGGUCUGGAAGACUCACAAAAGACUUAAAAAGAAGUAUUCAGACACAUUCCGCCUAAAUUUUAGUAGAAUUUAUGGUUCCCGCCUAAAUUUUGGAAUAAUUUAGGUUCCCCGCCUAAAUCAAAGUCUUCCAGGAGUCUUCCAUAAGUCUUCCAGAGAAAGCUUUCUCAUGGAUUAGAUCUUAAAAAUAAUUUAAAUUUCUUAUAAAAAAUAUUUUCAUGGUUACAAUUUGAAAUCAUGUAAUAGUAAACAUUUUUCAAUGAUGUAAAUUUAGUUAAUCUGAAAUUGAAUUAUUUUCAACAUAGAUGAGUGAAUGUCGAAUGGUUCAUGAGUCUUAGGUUUAGGGUUUAGUAACAUGUGUUAUAGUAUUGUUGGUAUAUUUAUGGUUAGAUUUGAAAUCUUAUCUUCAUUUUUUUUCUUUUUUCAAAUUGACCUAUAUAUGUUUAGUAACUAUCUAAUAAUUUGAUUUAAACACUUUCUAAGUUUUCUUAAGUUUAAAAAGGUUUUUUGCAUUGUUAUUUGAUUUUAGGGUCUUGAAGACUCACAAAAAUCUUAAAA
This 608-nucleotide long non-coding RNA is filed under the name Brassica napus (rape). RNAcentral describes it as "long non-coding RNA (BNAP_LNC015337)". Lineage: Eukaryota; Viridiplantae; Streptophyta; Magnoliopsida; Brassicales; Brassicaceae. The record is from RNAcentral.